RNAcentral lists this ribosomal RNA (1530 nucleotides) under Salmonella enterica. RNAcentral describes it as "bacterial SSU rRNA". It matches the Rfam family "Bacterial small subunit ribosomal RNA". RNAcentral also lists the same sequence under 1 other name. Lineage: Bacteria; Pseudomonadati; Pseudomonadota; Gammaproteobacteria; Enterobacterales; Enterobacteriaceae. The record is from RNAcentral.
AGAGUUUGAUCAUGGCUCAGAUUGAACGCUGGCGGCAGGCCUAACACAUGCAAGUCGAACGGUAACAGGAAGCAGCUUGCUGCUUUGCUGACGAGUGGCGGACGGGUGAGUAAUGUCUGGGAAACUGCCUGAUGGAGGGGGAUAACUACUGGAAACGGUGGCUAAUACCGCAUAACGUCGCAAGACCAAAGAGGGGGACCUUCGGGCCUCUUGCCAUCAGAUGUGCCCAGAUGGGAUUAGCUAGUUGGUGAGGUAACGGCUCACCAAGGCGACGAUCCCUAGCUGGUCUGAGAGGAUGACCAGCCACACUGGAACUGAGACACGGUCCAGACUCCUACGGGAGGCAGCAGUGGGGAAUAUUGCACAAUGGGCGCAAGCCUGAUGCAGCCAUGCCGCGUGUAUGAAGAAGGCCUUCGGGUUGUAAAGUACUUUCAGCGGGGAGGAAGGUGUUGUGGUUAAUAACCGCAGCAAUUGACGUUACCCGCAGAAGAAGCACCGGCUAACUCCGUGCCAGCAGCCGCGGUAAUACGGAGGGUGCAAGCGUUAAUCGGAAUUACUGGGCGUAAAGCGCACGCAGGCGGUCUGUCAAGUCGGAUGUGAAAUCCCCGGGCUCAACCUGGGAACUGCAUUCGAAACUGGCAGGCUUGAGUCUUGUAGAGGGGGGUAGAAUUCCAGGUGUAGCGGUGAAAUGCGUAGAGAUCUGGAGGAAUACCGGUGGCGAAGGCGGCCCCCUGGACAAAGACUGACGCUCAGGUGCGAAAGCGUGGGGAGCAAACAGGAUUAGAUACCCUGGUAGUCCACGCCGUAAACGAUGUCUACUUGGAGGUUGUGCCCUUGAGGCGUGGCUUCCGGAGCUAACGCGUUAAGUAGACCGCCUGGGGAGUACGGCCGCAAGGUUAAAACUCAAAUGAAUUGACGGGGGCCCGCACAAGCGGUGGAGCAUGUGGUUUAAUUCGAUGCAACGCGAAGAACCUUACCUGGUCUUGACAUCCACAGAACUUUCCAGAGAUGGAUUGGUGCCUUCGGGAACUGUGAGACAGGUGCUGCAUGGCUGUCGUCAGCUCGUGUUGUGAAAUGUUGGGUUAAGUCCCGCAACGAGCGCAACCCUUAUCCUUUGUUGCCAGCGGUUAGGCCGGGAACUCAAAGGAGACUGCCAGUGAUAAACUGGAGGAAGGUGGGGAUGACGUCAAGUCAUCAUGGCCCUUACGACCAGGGCUACACACGUGCUACAAUGGCGCAUACAAAGAGAAGCGACCUCGCGAGAGCAAGCGGACCUCAUAAAGUGCGUCGUAGUCCGGAUUGGAGUCUGCAACUCGACUCCAUGAAGUCGGAAUCGCUAGUAAUCGUGGAUCAGAAUGCCACGGUGAAUACGUUCCCGGGCCUUGUACACACCGCCCGUCACACCAUGGGAGUGGGUUGCAAAAGAAGUAGGUAGCUUAACCUUCGGGAGGGCGCUUACCACUUUGUGAUUCAUGACUGGGGUGAAGUCGUAACAAGGUAACCGUAGGGGAACCUGCGGUUGGAUCACCU